AUUUUUUGAAUAAAAUUUCAGAAAACAUAUUUUCUUUGAUUGUAUCUUCUUUCUAUUUUUUAAAAAUUAUAAAAAAUAUCAAAGUUCGUGUUGACGAACCACCAAACGGACUCUCCCGGUAACUGCAGAAGAAACCUAUCUUUUUUUUUUGUCUUUUUUGCUAAUCAUGUCUGGAUCGAACAGAGCAUUCCCCUUUCGACAUACUCGCGACAUUCUCUCUCUCUCUCUCUCUCUCUCUCUCUCUCUGUGUGUGUGUGUGUGUGUGUGUGUGUAUAUAUGUGUAUGUAUGUACGUAUGUGUGUUUGUGUGUUUUGAAUAUGUAGGAAGUAUCGGCGAUAAGUUUAGUGGUUUGCACUCUCCAUGGCAUAACCGGCAAAUCGGAAAUCGAUAUCCGUGCAUAGCCAGCAUAAUAUAGCGUCUAUAUACCUACAUAGUUUCUUUCUCAAAGGUGUAUUUGCUCGAUAUGUAAUAUGUGUUCGUGUUCCUGUUGGCGCGCAUCGAGUGAAUUCUCCAGUAUUUUUCCAAGUUUUCGUGGAGAAAUUAUUUCUCUUCGUAUUUUGUGUAGGAUUACGUUCUAAUAUCGUACGCAUUUUUUAGUAUUCCUUUUUAUUUUUUCAAUCUCUUCAGAGAUACUGAUACCCAAGUAUAUGUUAAUUUUUUGUUGGAAAAUAUGUAUGUAAUUUCUUGUUGUAUGUUCCUAAUGUUAUCUACUAUAAUUUUUUUGUAUUUCUCUAAUUGUUAUUGAUUUAGAAUGAAUAUCGUAUAAGCAUCUAAAAAGUGGGAUCAAUUUCCUUUAAUUUUAAAAAUUAUCAGCUCUAAAAAGAUUAAUGUAAAUAGUUUAUACAACUAUAAUAAGUAUAUUAAGAAUGUUUACCGAUUAUAAACAUCGUUUUUUAAUGUUUAAGAAUAAACUUCCAAUGUUCUCAUUUUACUGAUUUUUAUUAACAAGUCAUUUUAGUUUUAUUUAUUAUAGUUUUAAAGUUGCAAGGAACUUUCAAAUAAAGAUAUUGUCGAGAAAAAAUAUAGCUAUGAUAAUAAGGCGAUAUAUAUAUCAAUCCAUAAUUAAUAUGGAUAAAUACAAUGUAGACAAGUGUGUCAUUUAUAUAUGUUAUGUUAUGAAUCUUAUAUGAAAAUAUGGAAUUAUUUGUUUUAAAUAAAUCGUGUUCUUUCGCAGAAUUUAAUAAAACUACACUAAAAAAGUAUAGAAAUAAUCGCUAUUGAUUUUUAUAAAACAAAUUUUUAAUUGAUAAAAAUGCAAUCUUAGAAUCGAUAAUCUCGAUCAACAUUAAUGAUCAAAAACAAAAAACUGAUAAAUUAUAUCGCUUUUUCUAAUUUCUUUUCAUUCGAACAAAUUCUACGCGAAUUCGAACAAAAUAUGUAGGACAUUCGAAAACCGACCGUUGCGUUAAAGCAGCGGCAUCAAGGAAUCAAAGUAUAGACAUUUCGACCUGGCUUUUGUUGUAUCUUAAUUGUGCGGUUUUUUUAAUUGCGAGUUUAAUAAUACCAAACGACUCUUCUUUUAUUCUUUGAUCUCUGAAUUCGCCUAUUCUCUUUGACAAAAUCUCUUUGUCUUUUUCUGCUUUUCUUUCUGUUUCUCUUCUUAUUUCUCUUUUGCGUACAUUUAUAUGCUCUGUGAGUAUAUUUCUUUGUCUGUAGUUUGUUUGUCUCUGAUCUUUCUCUCUCUCUUAUCUUUUCUUUCAUAAAUAAGAAAGAUCUUCAGCGAAGGCAAUUCGUCUUAUUAUAUCUCUUCUCAAGCGAUUUAGAAACGAGGAAAGAAAAUUUAAUCAAGUGAAGAAUAUUUAUUCAAUCUAACUAUAAUAUAUAAAUUAAUAAUUCUAGUUUGUCAAGAGAAAAAGAGCGACGCAAAUCAUUAAUUAUAGAAAUCGUAUCAAUCUUUGAUUAAUUUAUUUUUAGCUUUGGAAAUAAUUAACUCUCUUUGCGUUAGAACUAUCGACCUAUUUCUACUGUACUUAUCGAUUUUAACAAGUACUUAAAAAAAAAAAGAAAAAGAACAAAUUUCUUUAAUUUGUUUAAUUUAUGUAAUAUAUACUAAUUUAUUUAAAUUGUACGAUAAAAAUAAAUAAACAAAAAUAACUUUUAGUGAAGAUUUUUAUAACAAUUAUGAUUUCAUUAAUACUAAGCUCCGUAAUUAGAACAAGCUAAUUAAUUAAUAAAUGGUGAAAGUUAAUUUUGUGAUACUCAAUUGUGAACUCCAUUCGAUUGAUGUAAACUCACAAUCGUCGUCACAGCUGCAAGGAACGUAGAGUCACCGUCAGGUGCGUUAGUAGAAGACUUGCUUUUAAAGUGGGAUGAGGUUGGGUGAAGGGUGGUUGGAGGAUAGGAAGCACAAAGGUGGCGUCGGCGUCGGUGUCGUGACGCUUGCGGAGAGAAAAGAGGGAGUCAGUCACUGUUCGACCUCAACGCGUUGUGCAUAACCUCUCGCUUGGAUUUCUAAACAAUAAUCGUAUCGAUCGGUUUAUAUACAUCAUUUUUUAUAUUCGAAAUUUUUCCUUUAAUUAUACAUUCGAAGAAAGAAGAAUGACUGGAAAUUGGAAUGUUCGUCGUACGUGUUAGUAAAUGAAAAAAAACGAAGUGAAAAAGAGGAGGACACUAAGAUUAACCUUCUUUCUUUCUCUAUCGCUUACUCUUUCUCUUUCCCUCUCUUUUUUUUUCUUUUAAAUUGUCAAAUCAAAAACUGGGAUAACGGAAGAAAAACAUCUGCAAGUUCGUUUCUAUUUUUCUUUUUUUUUUUUUUGGAUUCAUUAUUGAGCACAACAAAGUUUUAGGAAACAUUUUUUAAAUAUUUUAUUUAUAUACUUAUAUAAUUGAAACAGUGUUAUUCAAAGAAAGUUUAUUAUUUUUAUCCUUAAGAAGAAGGAAGGAAUGCAUGAAUGAAAAGUUCAAAACAGAGAUAGUUAAAUAGAUAGAAAAUAAAAUGAAAUAAAGAAAGACAAAAAAUUGACGUGUGUGUAUAAGUGUAGAAAAAACGAGAGGAAGGUACGGGUGCGUGCUUGCGUAGGUGUCAACCUGGACAACGAUCCCAACGCGCAGCUAAAUUAGGCCAACUGAUUCCUUCGCUUCUCUCUCUCUCUCUCUCCCUCUAUCUCUCUCUCUCUCUCUCUCUCUCUUUCUCUCUCUCUUUCUCUCUCUCUGCGCAAACAAAAGCAAUUCGAUUCUUUUUUUAACUAUAUUCAGCGAAGUGAAAUAAACGAUCAAAAAUAAAAAAUAUAUAUAAAAAUAAGUGAAUGAUGUAUUUCGAAAACGAAAGAUCGAAGAGGGAAAAGACGAAAGGAGGAAAAAACUAGAAGAAUGAUCUAUGCAACGAAGUGCCUUGACCGAGCGGCAUGCAUCGACCCGGGUAUCCGCGUGACCCGACGACCCGUUAUGCCAGCGCGUAGCUCCUGCUGAGAUAUGAAUAGCAUGAGAGACAUAAUAGAAUUAUGUCAAUUAUUUUGUAAUACAGAUCUUUAUAUUAAUCCAUGAAAUAUUGACAUGAACAAUAAAUUUACCGGUGUUUCGAUAAUAUAUAAAAAGGAACUAUGAAACGAGAUUGUAAAGAAAAAAAAACAGAAAAACAGUGGUCGGUUAGUGUAUCUUUUCAAUGAAAAGGUUUCCUUUCGAUUCGCGUUAAAUAUCAUUGUUAAAUUUCAAACAAUAUCGAAAUUGAUAAUCGUGAGAAUCAAUCGUGAGAAUCGAUGAAAAGAAGAGGAUUAAACGUCACAAGAGAAAAGCACAUUGUUGUUAUUGUUGUUGUUACAUCUCGAAAAAUGGAAUAAGAGGACAAGUGAAAUUCAUUGAAUCUCAGUAAUUCUCGAAGAACGAAGACGACGAAGCGAAUGCUGCGGACGAAGAGAGUUACGCGAUUAAGAAGACGAGGACGACGACGACGAAGAGGAGGCACUCGUUGUAUCACAGAGAGUCACUGACCUCUCGACCGAUCACAGUCCAGAGUGUGUGAUGUUUGAUGCUGCAGUGGUGCUUUAUGCGGAGGCGACGAAAAGACAAAUAAGUAGAAAUAUCGAUGAAUGGUCAAACAAAGGGUUGUCAGGAUAUUAUGAAAAAGAGAAAGAGGGAGGGUGAGAGAGAGAGAGAGAGAGAGAGAGAGAGAGAGAAGAGAGGAGAGGAGAGAGAAAUUACGUCGUAGUCGUGUCGUCGUCUAUCAUCGACGUUCGUCAUUGAUCCUCGACCUUGUCGAAGGCUUUUGGGAAAUCGUCAAUUUCCCUCGUGAAGAGUACUUCGCGUCUCCUCGAUAAAGUAUUGAGGCGGGCUCGAAGUUGGCUCUUGAGUACGACAUCCUCCUCGAUAUCCGUGAAUGAUAUCGUUUAGUCUAAUAGAAUAUGUUUUAGGCCCAACUAGACUUAACGUCAAACCUAAACCCUUACCUUUUUGUACUUUAUUAAUAAUAUUUAAUAAUAUCUUUAUCUUCUAAAAGAAUAAAAUUUUUCUUCGGAUUUAAUUUAAAAUAAACAAGAGAAGGAUAUUUUAUGUUGAUCAUCUUUUUAAUAGUCUAUUAAUAAUAUUAAUAAUUAAAGUAAUAAUAAAGUAAUAAUAAAAAGUAAUAAAAAAGGGAGCAAAAUUUUAUUUUUGGAGUUAAUUAAAAGAGAAAAAGAGAGAGAGAGAGAGAGAGAAGGAUUAUCUAUAUAAUACUCUGUUAAUAGUAUUUAAUAGCAUUUUAACAACGAAUGAGAUUUUCUCUUCGAAUCCAAUUAAUAAAAGGAGUAUCGUCUAUUUAAUAUUUUAUUAAUACUAUUUAUUAUUUUAUAAUCAUAUAUUUAAUAUUGUAUUAUAAUACUGAUAAUGAUAACAGCAGUGAUAGCAAAACCAUUCCUCGCAAAGAACAACGAAUACUGCGGUCAUUUGCAGUAUUAAUACAGAAAAUAUAGCCGAAUCACCGAGAAUAAUAGUUGAAAAAUCUCUCGUUCCUAUAAAGCGUUAAUAUUAUAUAAUGUCAUUUUGAUAAAGAACAAAAUUUUGUUGUUAAUUUAAUCAACAAAAAGAAAAAUUUACGUUGUUCGUCCAUCUAAUAUCAUCAAAUAUCGAAAAAAGAAAAACAAGAAAAAGACAAAAUACUAAAGAAUGAUUUAAAUUAUUGAAGAUAUAGUGCCUCCCAUUUCUUUUUUAAUGAAACACAUUAUUUUUCUUUUCAUGGUAUCCCUACUGACUAAGACUUUCGAGACGGUCCUAGAUCAGUGGUAUUAAGAAGACUUUCAAGACAGUUUUAGAUCAGUAUUAAGAAGAAGGAAAGAGGAAAACGAUGUUGGGUCCUUUCAAAGUUUUCAGACCAACCUUUCAAUGUAUGAAUUAGCCUCGAGUAGUGACGAGAGAAGCACGGGUCGGAGCAUCAGAAAAAACGGAAGGAUCACAAUAAAAAAAAACUAGGAAGGUAAAAUUCAUGAAAGCAUCGAGGAUGCAAACCGAGAGCUAAUUCAUAAAGCAGAUCAUACGUCAGCUUUUGCGUGUAAAUUACGCUAGAUUAAUAAACGCUCUGUAAACAAAGUCUCAAUCGAAUGGUUAUGUUUUCGAAUGGAUAUGUGAAUUCAUAUGCCGCAAUAUCCUGCUUUUUUUUUCUAUCGCUAUUAACGUAUUUCAUUGAUCUCUCCUUAUUACAUAUUUGCUGUUAUACAUCCUCGCCACCCCUUGACCUAGUAUCACUAUUCAACGAUAUAGAACUUUGUCCUAACGCAACGUGACAAUCGCAAGCAGAAUAAAGAUCGAUUCACAUUUCAGUUCAAUCUCCGCUUUAUCUCUGUUCUGAUUGUUCAGUCACAGUGAUUUUAACAUUAUUAUUCAUACAGUUCAGUCUCAGUUCAGUCAGCGAUCCGUCAUAUUUUUUGUGUCUCAGAUCAUCCGAGAUCAUUGUUUUUUGACGAAAUUUUCAUAACGUUUUUGUCUACGGAUAAACGAGAUUUUUUACUGCUCCGUUCAUUCUCGCCUUUAAUGUUCUCUAAGUUCACAGAGUAGGAUUUUUGGACAUAACAGUUUCAUUUUAAUCUUUGGAAUUACUUCUUGCAUAUUGAAUCAUCUACAGCUUCGGCUGAAUAUACAGUAUAAAUUGUUUUACGAGUUUGUAAUGCGUUUUUGCAUUUUUUGGUAAUAAAAAAGCAGAUAUGAAGAAAAUGUUCUUUAUUUUCUGACAUGUUUAAAAUUUUACAAUAAUAAUACAUUUAAUUAAUCACAGUAAAAUUUUAUUAAAAUGACAGCUUUGUAAUAUAAAAAAUAGUAUUUGCGCGCAGAAAAUUGAUAAUGGUAGGAAAAAGCAAUUUCCCGUUAAUAAGCCGAAAAAAUGGGACGAAUAUAAUAUGUCACAAGUUAAUAAUUAAAGAUAGGGGAAAUAAUUGAAAAUCUGUUCUCUUUAUCUUGCCUCCUUUUUGCCGUACCAUAGACAAUAGACUCCAAGUUAUCAGAAUUAUGUGUCAUUUCAAAAAAUCUUCGUUGACGACAGUUUGGACGAUCUUGGACACAGAGAAAAUAUGACGAAAUCGGUAAUUGAAAAGAUUAAAUGGAAAUGUGUGAAUCUGUAUAUUUAAAUUACAUAUAACAAUAUAAAAAUUGCAGCUGAACAAUCGAAACGGAAACUGAAUUGAAAUGUAUAAAUUGAACUUUGUUAACUUACAAUCUUUUGUCUAUCGACAAAGAAAAUUUUGUAUCGUUUCGUCCCUCCAUUUUUUUUACGCUCUCGAUGUUCAUAGAGUAUGAUGUGUACGAUCAGACUGAUACUAUAUUGAGCUCAUAUGUUGGAAUAUAAAUAACUGAAACCGAAUUAUGACUUGAAGUGACUGGAGAUUGAAGUGAAAUGAAGGAGACUGAACUAAAAUGUUUGAAUCGACCUUAAUCUGGCAGUAAUUGAGAUCAAAAUUGUUGAAAUUGCUUCUCUUACGUGUUUUUCGCAAUUUCAUAAUGAUCUUUAUUUCAAUUUCUCUAUUUAGGAUCGUUUCCUCGGUCUUCCUAUUUUUGUUUAUUUCUUUUUGUUUAAGAAGAGUAAAAAUAAAUUGUAGGUAGAAAUAGAACUCAACAAAUCAGUGAGAGUGAAUUCGAUUUAUUUUGUUUUGAAUAUUUAUCAUUAUUCUUUUAAUAAACAUUGUUAUCAUUAGUAUUGUUAGAUAAAUACGUAUAUUCGACGUUUUCAUCA
This is a long non-coding RNA of Vespa crabro (European hornet), 7129 nucleotides long. RefSeq lists it as uncharacterized. The transcript has 4 exons. The record is from RefSeq and is a predicted model, not a curated record. Lineage: Eukaryota; Metazoa; Arthropoda; Insecta; Hymenoptera; Vespidae.